RNAcentral lists this unclassified non-coding RNA (461 nucleotides) under Hevea brasiliensis (rubber tree). The record is from RNAcentral. Lineage: Eukaryota; Viridiplantae; Streptophyta; Magnoliopsida; Malpighiales; Euphorbiaceae.
GAAGGAAACAACAAUAAGGUUGCCACCAAUCCUAGACUAGAUCUUCAGCAAUGAUCAAACUAGCAAACGGCUUACUCAUCCUAUAUGUACCUAGGCCUUUAGAGAAGAGAAAAGCAACCAGUAAACAAUCAAAAAAAUUAAGAGCCCACUGCUAAUAAUUGAAGUUCAAAACUCUAUGUUGAAAUCAUGGGCCCAGAAGGAGUGUACAUUAACAGACUGGCUUCUACACUGAAUUGGGCUUGGUUUAGUUUGACAACAAUUAUAAGCGUUAGUAAUUAUACUCUGAUACCACUUGUUUGCUAAAUCAAAAUAUAUAGAUGGAUAGAUGGAAGGGAAAGAGAGGAAUAAUAUAGAUAAAAUAGAAAGAUCAUAAACAUUCACUUCAUUUCCAUAACCUUUCACUUCAUCUUCAUUAGCUUUCCACUCCCCUUCCACUUCCUUUCCAUACAUAAUGCAAUAGU